Molecule: RNA transcript, 5311 nt
Organism: Leptopilina heterotoma
Lineage: Eukaryota; Metazoa; Arthropoda; Insecta; Hymenoptera; Figitidae
Gene name: guanylate cyclase 2D-like
Exons: 26
Source: RefSeq, a predicted model, not a curated record
UGCGAGGGGUUCAGUUCGAUACCGGACGCUACAAGGGAUGCGUCACUUCCGGUGCCGCUUUUCUCACGCCGCGAAUUUUCUCUAAGUCUCGUGGGCAACACAGAAAGAGAGCAAACUUUUGCUGCACACCUGCGCGACAAUGAUAUCAAAACGCUCUUCGAACGCGUGUGCUACCAACGUGAGGGACAAUUUCAACAAAUUUUCACACGUUGCACCCAACACCGGAACAAAAACAACUCAUUUUUGAAAAUUGGAAGCUGAACAGCGCACAUUUCCAUCGACUCUUUAUUCAAGGAGUAGCUUUACUUUUCCUGUGCAGUUAAGCUAAGCCUGCGAUAAUACCGAGUUGGGCUUUACAUUAAAGUACAGCUCGAAAUUAUACGAGCUAUAAAUUUAUAUUCGAGUUAAUGUUUAUUAAAUCAAAUAGCUUAAUAAAGACUCAUAAUAAUUUCAUGCGAUAUUCGAGAGUAACAAGAAAAAAAAAUGUUUCUUAAAUGGUGAAUUUGAAAAGAAAGAUAAAACUCGUAUAUGACAAUAUGGAGGUUUAGACUGUGGUCGAGGAAACUGGAGUGGCGAGACCGAAAGUCACCAACAUGAGGAAAAGAAGGCUGAUGAGGAUUCGUAGGUGAAGCGGAAGACAUCGGAGAAUUUAUCGAACGACCAGUUAGCGGGUGUGCUUUUGGAGUGAGAUUGGUUAUCAGGGCCCAUGGCCCGGUGCUGGUUGCGCCAGUGCUGGUGGUGGUUCUUGCUUGUUACCUUCCUCGGAUGGUUUCUUCUUCCAAUUACUAAUUCGUCCAUGGAUUUGGAGACAAGUGCUGAGAUUUUAGUCUUUUUACCAGAAAUUUGCAAUCGUGACUUCAAUACAUCCGUCGUACAAGAUUUUUUAACAUCGCGGAGUCAAAAUUUGUCCAUUGCUAUGAUUUCCAAAUCACAAACCUGCGAAACCCGUUCUUGGGGUCUUGGAGCAUUGGUUCAAGCCCUUGAGCAAAAUACGACGAAAGCUUUGAUCGCAGACCUUAAUCCAAACACCUGCGAUGUUGCUAUGAAACUUGCUCAUCUUUGGAACAAACCGUUGCUCACAUGGAAUUGCCCUCAGAGAGCGCAAGAGGAUGCAGAAUUUUCGUCAAUCAUUAGACUUUCGCCUUCUCUGUUAACAAUGGCUAACUCGAUAACAGAAAUGUUUCGGCAUUUUCGAUGGAAAUCGGUGGCGAUUAUAAGUUCAGAUGAUAUUUUAUGGUCGAAUUUGGACAGAGCUGUUGUCGGAGCUUUGGGAAAUAUUGGUAUCGUGCCUAGACAUCGUAUUGUCCUACAAUAUUCCGAUAGUCCCAAGCAAAUUCAGGAUUCCUUAAGACCUUUGAUCACAAUUCCAUGUAGAGCCGUACUUUUUUGUUUGCCCCUGGAGAAUAACUAUACGAGUCGCAUACUGGUCGAGAUGGACGCGAUACUUCAAGAGUCUCGCCUGUCACAUCCCGUGAUCAUAUUAAUUCAACCUGUAAAUUCGGACUUCUUUAUCCCUGAAAAUAUUUCGACAGCAACCACCACCCUUCCAAUUUUGGUGCCGUUCACGAGCUCCCCUCAGUCUUCCAAUUUUUCUAUCCCGAACGUAUCUGAUGCUCAGUCGAACGAACCACAACGAUCGAAGGGAGGAGAGUCGUCCAGCCGAUUUAAACCACCGACGAAUUUGAGCAAAGCCAUGCUGACCAAUCUACUGGCCGUUGUACCUGUCGAUCAAACAUACGAUGUGCAAAGGAUAUUCAGUGGUAGGUCAGAUUUCACAGUGCCAAAUAUAUUUGAGCAUUUAGAGGAAUCAUUGGAAAUUUUAAUUCGUGACAACACGAGUUUAAAUCAAUGGAACAACAAAAUGUUUACUUUUGCAUUACUGAAUCUCAACGAGAAUGAUUGGGAACCAAUUUUAAUUGUCUUUGAACAAAGGGAACAACUCGUCAUUAAGGAAAUUGUUCAAAACACAUUUGCCGACGAUGAGAUCAUUGUACUUUGCGAAAAUCAAGGCGAAUGCUCCUAUGGCGACCUACCAGGAAUACCAUUACGAACUGCACAUAUCGUAGCUAUUAUAAUGAGUUCUCUUCUAUUUGGCCUCAUCGCCAUUGUUACCGCGGCGUUGAUACGGAGGCAUUUAAUGAAAAAAAGAAUGUCGAAGGGUCCGUACAAGAUAAUCUUGACAACUUCUGACUUUGUUUUCCCGCAAGUACCCGAUCCGAGAAGGGUUGAUGAGGGGAUAGAAGCGAUGUUGUGUUGUUGGUUGCAGCAGCUGCAAGACUUUGGAGGACCGGAGGUGGAAAAACCAGAUCUUCUACAAGGAAGCGUUGGAUCGUUGAGGCCACAUCUACAAGCUAGUAAUGGAAGUCUUGCGAGGCAUGCAAUUCUCAAUGACCCUCGAGUUAGAUAUAAUGGUGACUUGGUGCAACUGAAGGAACUGCAGAUCCAGGGGACCUUCGAGCUGAAGAGCAAAGCCAUUGAUGUGCUGGUCACGAUCCAUGGACUUCGUCACGAGAACCUGAACCCACUGAUCGGAUGUCUGAACGAACCGACGAGACCGUGUCUGGUGUCUGAAUUUUGCUCCAGAGGCUCACUGGAAGACGUUCUGGUCCAGGAUGAAAUCAAGCUCGACUGGUCCUUUAGGCUCUCUCUUCUCACGGAUCUAGUUCGAGGUAUGAAGUACCUUCAUAGUACUCCUGUACGUGUUCAUGGGUUUCUCACAUCAAGAAAUUGUGUCAUUGAUGCACGUUGGGUUCUCAAAGUCGCCGAUUAUGGUCUUCCGGCCUUUUACGAGGCCCAGAAUGCCAUUACGCCGAUAAAAACUGCUCGGGACUUGCUUUGGACAGCUCCGGAAUUGCUGAGGCACGCAGGCCUUAGAAAGAGAGGAACUCAAGCGGGGGAUGUGUACAGUUUUGGUAUCAUCAUGCAAGAAGUCGUUGUCCGUGGAGAGCCUUUUUGCAUGUUAGCUCUGUCACCGGAAGAUAUAAUUGAAAAGGUGAAAAAACCACCGCCAUUAAUCAGGCCCUCGGUCAGUAAAGGCGCAGCACCACCGGAAGCUAUCAACAUCAUGCGUCAAUGUUGGGCCGAAGCUGCAGACAUGCGACCUGACUUCAAUGCUGUUUAUGAUCUUUUUAAAAAAUUAAAUCACGGAAGGAAAGUAAACUUUGUGGACACGAUGUUUGAAAUGUUGGAAAAGUACUCGAACAAUCUUGAGGAACUAAUUCGCGAGAGGACAGAGCAGUUGGACAUGGAAAAAAAGAAGACUGAACAGUUGCUGAACCGUAUGCUGCCAGCUUCAGUGGCGGAAAAGUUAAAACUAGGAAUGCCAGUGGAUCCCGAGGAAUUUCGAGAGGUCACUAUUUAUUUUUCUGACAUCGUCGGUUUUACGACGAUCUCUGCUUAUUCUACACCUUUUCAAGUUGUUGACCUACUAAACGACUUGUACACUUGUUUUGAUGCGACGAUAAACGCCUACACAGUUUAUAAGGUGGAAACAAUAGGAGAUGCUUACAUGGUUGUCGGUGGAUGUCCUGUAAGGAUACCUGAUCAUGCGUCUCAAGUUGCAACAAUGGCAUUAGAUCUUCUUCAUCAAAGUGGAAAAUUCAAACUAAAGCAUUUGCCGAAAACUCAAUUACGCUUGAGAAUUGGCCUUCAUACUGGACCCUGUUGUGCAGGGGUCGUUGGUCUGACAAUGCCAAGAUAUUGCCUGUUUGGUGAUACGGUAAACACAACAUCUAGAAUGGAGUCCACCGGAGCACCAUGGCGAAUUCAUAUGAGCCAAGCAACAAGAGAUCGAUUAACGCAAGUUGGCGGAUACUACAUUGAGUAUCGAGGAAGAACAGACGUAAAGGGUAAAGGGAAGAUGCCAACAUACUGGCUUCUCGGAAAGCAAGGCUUCGACAAAGAGCUUCCGACACCGCCGCCUCUUGGAGAGGAUCAUCGACUCGAGGAAAGUCUGAUACUGGGAAGUCUGGUGAAUCAAGACGCCGAUUUGGGAAGUCCAAAACAUCCAUCGCCAAUAGCUGAGGACGUGAGUUUUGAGGAGAAUAAUUCCCUGGAUAAUUUGCCAGCGAUCGAUCAAGAAUCAUUGUCGUCGGUAAAAAUAACCGCGAGUGAUAAUAAUACGUGUGUGGAUAAAGUGGACACGAAAAAAGUAGCGGUCUCCGUCCAUAAUGAGAGAACAUUGACGUAUAGCUAUUCGUUAAAAUCAAGCGAAGUUAUUGACACACCAAAAGACAUUGUAAAGACGCCAGACUAUAGUAGUGCAACAAUUACAAAAAGUACAUCCGGUGACAAUCAAACGAAUCUGGCAACUCCAGUUUCCGCUGCGGAAGUUGCUGCCGCUCUUUUGGGAGCAUCGACAACGUCACUCGCCUCCGUGCCAGGAACAAAUUAUCGACGACACAGAAGAGUCGGUGUCUUCGAUCAAGAUGAUCUCAGCACUCCUUAUAAUCAUUAUCGAUGUCUUUCGCCCAAUGAUCAUGGGAAAAAUUCCGCGUGUCGAUUACUUAAAAGACAGUUCAGCUUGGAUCGUGCAGAUGAGCCAGCGAUAAUAGUGCCCGACCAACACUCUCAGAGAAUAGCUCCACGAUUGAACAAGCAAAACAGUGCUGGAGCUGCGAAUGACUUGGAGAGAAUAGAAGAGGUUCCAUCCACUCCUGGCCCUCAAGUAUAUCGUCAUGCUUCCAUGUCUCUAUCUGUCGAAUCCCUGACUAUGCAGUAGACCAAAAAAAAAUCAUCUUCACUCCUCGAAUUUCCUGUUCGAAAUUGAAAAUGGAAGGAAGAGAGUGAAAGAGAGAGAAUAUAAGGAACGCGUUAAGUUCUACCCCUUUGUCUCCCAAAUUUUGAACCCCAUUUUCGGUUAACACGUCGUUCGGUAGUGUUUAAAAUUUUUAAAUUCACGAAGAGAGUUGGUAUUUUUUGUGACCGAAGAACGGAGUUCGGAACAGGCUGAGGUAUUGAUCACUGUAAAGGAUGGAAAGGAGUCUGCAGAUGAAAGAACCUUGGUCCCUACAUAGUCGCCUCUGAUCUUGCCAAAAAUGUUCCAGAAACGGUUGAUGCAGUUACGGGUGAAGAGACAACAUACGGACAAAUGGCAGAAAAUAGUGUUCGUUGUGCAUUGUGGUUAAAAAAGCAGGGAAUUAAUUCUCACGAUGUUGUAUUCACCAAUUGUUAUAAUCGUCUGGAUUCUUAUAUAAAACAAUUGUGGAGGGUCUUCUAAUUCACACUAUGAAGAAGGAAGGGGAAAAACCUAAUGAUAUAUCAUUGAUUUACUUGGCUGAUCGCUUUAUUGGCUGAUUUCCCUAAGAGUAAU